Molecule: ribosomal RNA, 259 nt
Filed under: uncultured bacterium
Lineage: Bacteria
Description: partial 16S ribosomal RNA
Rfam family: Bacterial small subunit ribosomal RNA
Source: RNAcentral
GUCCACGCCCUAAACGAUGAAUACUCGGUGUUGGGUCGCAAGACUCAGCGCCUAAGCUAACGCAUUAAGUAUUCCACCUGGGAAGUACGAUCGCAAGGUUGAAACUCAAAGGAAUUGACGGGGCCCGCACAAGCAGUGGAGCAUGUGGUUUAAUUCGAUGCAACGCGAAGAACCUUACCUGGGCUUGAAAGGCAAGAUUAUAAUCCCUGAAAGGGGGUUACCCGCAAGGGGUCUUGUACAGGUGCUGCAUGGCUGUCGU